RNAcentral lists this ribosomal RNA (472 nucleotides) under uncultured bacterium. Its description in RNAcentral is "bacterial SSU rRNA". It matches the Rfam family "Bacterial small subunit ribosomal RNA", at positions 326 to 793 of the family's 1533-position model. The record is from RNAcentral.
ACGCUAUCACUCCUACGGGAGGCAGCAGUGAGGAAUAUUGGUCAAUGGGCGCAAGCCUGAACCAGCCAUGCCGCGUGCAGGAUGACGGUCCUGAUGGAGUUGUAAAACUGCUUUUGUACGGGAAGAAACACUCCUUCGUGAAGGAGCUUGACGGUACCGUAAGAAUAAGGAUCGGCUAACUCCGUGCCAGCAGCCGCGGUAAUACGGAGGAUCCAAGCGUUAUCCGGAAUCAUUGGGUUUAAAGGGUCCGUAGGCGGUUUUAUAAGUCAGUGGUGAAAUCCGGCAGCUCAACUGUCGAACUGCCAUUGAUACUGUAGAACUUGAAUUAUUGUGAAGUAACUAGAAUAUGUAGUGUAGCGGUGAAAUGCUUAGAGAUUACAUGGAAUACCAAUUGCGAAGGCAGGUUACUAACAAUAUAUUGACGCUGAUGGACGAAAGCGUGGGUAGCGAACAGGAUUAGAUACCCUGGUAG